CGGCGCCGGGAGCAAUCCUGGUGGCGAGUGGCGAACGGGUGAGUAAUAUAUCGGAACGUGCCCAGUCGUGGGGGAUAACGUAGAGAAAUUUACGCUAAUACCGCAUACGAUCUAAGGAUGAAAGCGGGGGACUCUGCAAAGAGCCUCGCGCGAUUGGAGCGGCUGAUAUCAGAUUAGGUUGUUGGUGAGGUAAAAGCUCACCAAGCCGACGAUCUGUAGCUGGUUUGAGAGAACGACCAGCCACACUGGGACUGAGACACGGCCCAGACUCCUACGGGAGGCAGCAGUGGGGAAUUUUGGACAAUGGGCGAAAGCCUGAUCCAGCAAUGCCGCGUGCAGGAAGAAGGCCUUCGGGUUGUAAACUGCUUUUGUACGGAACGAAAAGGUCUGCCCUAAUACGGCGGGCCCAUGACGGUACCGUAAGAAUAAGCACCGGCUAACUACGUGCCAGCAGCCGCGGUAAUACGUAGGGUGCGAGCGUUAAUCGGAAUUACUGGGCGUAAAGCGUGCGCAGGCGGUUAUGUAAGACAGUUGUGAAAUCCCCGGGCUCAACCUGGGAAUUGCAUCUGUGACUGCAUAGCUAGAGUACGGUAGAGGGGGAUGGAAUUCCGCGUGUAGCAGUGAAAUGCGUAGAUAUGCGGAGGAACACCGAUGGCGAAGGCAAUCCCCUGGACCUGUACUGACGCUCAUGCACGAAAGCGUGGGGAGCAAACAGGAUU
Molecule: ribosomal RNA, 719 nt
Filed under: uncultured Staphylococcus sp.
Lineage: Bacteria; Bacillati; Bacillota; Bacilli; Caryophanales; Staphylococcaceae
Description: bacterial SSU rRNA
Rfam family: Bacterial small subunit ribosomal RNA
Source: RNAcentral